GACGAACGCUGGCGGCGUGCUUAACACAUGCAAGUCGAACGGAAAGGCCCUGCUUUUGUGGGGUGCUCGAGUGGCGAACGGGUGAGUAACACGUGAGUAACCUGCCCUUGACUUUGGGAUAACUUCAGGAAACUGGGGCUAAUACCGGAUAGGAGCUCCUGCUGCAUGGUGGGGGUUGGAAAGUUUCGGCGGUUGGGGAUGGACUCGCGGCUUAUCAGCUUGUUGGUGGGGUAGUGGCUUACCAAGGCUUUGACGGGUAGCCGGCCUGAGAGGGUGACCGGCCAAAUGGGGAAGGGUAUCCGGCCCAGACCCCUACGGGGGGGAGGGGGGGGGAAUUUGGCACAAGGGGCGGAAGCCUGGUGCACCAACGCCGGGGGCGGGAUGAGGGCCUUGGGGUUGGAAACCGUUUUCGCCUGGGAAGAAGGGGGAGGGACGGUAAUGGGUAAAGAAGCCGCGGCAAACUGCGU
Molecule: ribosomal RNA, 467 nt
Filed under: uncultured bacterium
Lineage: Bacteria
Description: partial 16S ribosomal RNA
Rfam family: Bacterial small subunit ribosomal RNA
Source: RNAcentral